Long non-coding RNA from Daphnia pulicaria, 811 nucleotides. RefSeq lists it as uncharacterized. The transcript is spliced from 4 exons. The record is from RefSeq and is a predicted model, not a curated record. Lineage: Eukaryota; Metazoa; Arthropoda; Branchiopoda; Diplostraca; Daphniidae.
GCUGGAACUACCGGUGGAUGAGAAUAGAAUCCAGGAGUUGGAAGGACUUGAGCGGAGUCAGACUUACCUUGCUGACGUUGACGAGAAACGUAAGGCGGUGAUCGACGAUGUUGGCGAUUUGUUUUGCGAGUUGAAGUUGCGGUUCUUGAAGAUCCAAGUUGGCGGGCUCGUCGACGGCGAUUCUGAAACCACCACUGAUGCAAUCAAGAAAACAAAUUAAUUUCAGAGACGCCAAUCAACUGGGCAAUGCGGCGACGACCUUCUCGAUUGGGAAAUGGAUCUGUGGAGAACUCUGCUUCCAGUAGCUCCAGCUGGACCUCGUCGUAAAAGUGGCGCUGACGUCCUGAUCCGGAAGAAGAUUUCGAAGUGGAAACAACUGGAUAACAAUCUGCAAUUGUUUUCUUACUCUAGCGGAAUCUCCUUCCUGUAGUAAGAUUUAAAUCCAUUAUUAAUCCGUUGAAGCGUUGAAGCUGAUCCGGCGGAAGUACUCAAUCGUUAUUGCUGUCCAGGAUCAACAGCUUAUUGAAGGAUUCAGGUAUUUGACCUUACGCAGUUUUUUCUUUUCUUUGCCGGUGUCAGUUAAUCCAAAAUUUCAAGGCAUCUCGAUGUUGAACUUAUCAAAUGGCCCAACAUUGAAAUUGGUUUGUUAAACGACAAGUAAUUAUUAUAACUGUAUUUGCGAGGAGCAUUUUCAUUUUGAGGCAAAGGAAUGUUUCAAACCUUUUAUUUUAUAUUUAAAAAAAAUCAAAGCCUUUGUUACAUAAUGUGUUGUUGUUCUGAAUUAAAAAAAAAAUGCAAAUAAACGAAAGAU